GACGAACGCUGGCGGCGUGCUUAACACAUGCAAGUCGAACGGAAAGGCCCUGCUUUUGUGGGGUGCUCGAGUGGCGAACGGGUGAGUAACACGUGAGUAACCUGCCCUUGACUUUGGGAUAACUUCAGGAAACUGGGGCUAAUACCGGAUAGGAGCUCCUGCUGCAUGGUGGGGGUUGGAAAGUUUCGGCGGUUGGGGAUGGACUCGCGGCUUAUCAGCUUGUUGGUGGGGUAGUGGCUUACCAAGGCUUUGACGGGUAGCCGGCCGGGGAGGGUGACCGGCCCAAUGGGACAUGGGAGACGCCCAGGGCUCUUCCGGGGGGAAGGAGGGGGGAUUUUUGCACAAGGGGCGGAGGCCUGAUGCAGCAACCCGGGGUGCGGGAGGCGGGCCUUCGGGUGGAAAGCCCUUUUUGCCGGUAACGAGGCGGAGUGGCGGUUAAGGGUAAAAAAGCCACGGGCAACCACCUG
RNAcentral lists this ribosomal RNA (467 nucleotides) under uncultured bacterium. RNAcentral describes it as "partial 16S ribosomal RNA". It matches the Rfam family "Bacterial small subunit ribosomal RNA", at positions 28 to 507 of the family's 1533-position model. The record is from RNAcentral.